RNAcentral lists this non-coding RNA (24 nucleotides) under Arabidopsis thaliana (thale cress). Lineage: Eukaryota; Viridiplantae; Streptophyta; Magnoliopsida; Brassicales; Brassicaceae. The record is from RNAcentral.
UACCUGCUUGGUGUCUUUGCUUGC